RNAcentral lists this ribosomal RNA (743 nucleotides) under uncultured bacterium. RNAcentral describes it as "bacterial SSU rRNA". It matches the Rfam family "Bacterial small subunit ribosomal RNA", at positions 1 to 737 of the family's 1533-position model. The record is from RNAcentral.
CCCUUAGAGUUUGAUCAUGGCUCAGAUUGAACGCUGGCGGCAGGCCUAACACAUGCAAGUCGAGCGGAAACGAUCCUAGCUUGCUAGGAGGCGUCGAGCGGCGGACGGGUGAGUAACGCGUGAGAAUCUACCCAUGAGUGGGGGACAACCCGGGGAAACUCGGGCUAAUACCGCAUACGCCCUACGGGGUAAAGCAGGGGACCUUCGGGCCUUGCGCUGAUGGAUGAGCUCGCGUCGGAUUAGCUUGUUGGUGAGGUAAAGGCUCACCAAGGCGACGAUCCGUAGCUGGUCUGAGAGGAUGAUCAGCCACACCGGGACUGAGACACGGCCCGGACUCCUACGGGAGGCAGCAGUGGGGAAUCUUGGACAAUGGGGGCAACCCUGAUCCAGCCAUGCCGCGUGUGUGAAGAAGGCCUUCGGGUUGUAAAGCACUUUCAGCAGGGAGGAAGGCUUACCCCUAAUACGGGUGAGUACUUGACGUUACCUGCAGAAGAAGCACCGGCUAAUUUCGUGCCAGCAGCCGCGGUAAUACGAAAGGUGCAAGCGUUAAUCGGAAUUACUGGGCGUAAAGCGCGCGUAGGCGGUGUGUUAAGUCGGAUGUGAAAGCCCAGGGCUCAACCUUGGAAUUGCAUCCGAUACUGGCACGCUAGAGUGCAGUAGAGGGAGGUGGAAUUUCCGGUGUAGCGGUGAAAUGCGUAGAGAUCGGAAGGAACACCAGUGGCGAAGGCGGCCUCCUGGACUGA